Molecule: ribosomal RNA, 253 nt
Filed under: uncultured bacterium
Lineage: Bacteria
Description: partial 16S ribosomal RNA
Rfam family: Bacterial small subunit ribosomal RNA
Source: RNAcentral
UACGUAGGGGGCUAGCGUUGUCCGGAUUUAUUGGGCGUAAAGAGCGUGUAGGCGGCCAUGUAGGUCCGGUGUGAAAACUCGAGGCUUAACCUCGAGAUGUCAUCGGAAACUAUCUGGCUAGAGUCCGGAAGAGGAGAGUGGAAUUCCUGGUGUAGCGGUGAAAUGCGCAGAUAUCAGGAAGAACACCCGUGGCGAAAGCGGCUCUCUGGAACGGUACUGACGCUGAGACGCGAAAGCGUGGGGAGCGAACAGG